CCUACGGGUGGCAGCAGUGGGGAAUAUUGGACAAUGGGCGAAAGCCUGAUCCAGCCAUGCCGCGUGUGUGAAGAAGGCCUUCGGGUUGUAAAGCACUUUCAGUGGGGAAGAAAGCCUUGGGGCUAAUACCCUCGAGGAAGGACAUCACCCACAGAAGAAGCACCGGCUAACUCCGUGCCAGCAGCCGCGGUAAUACGGAGGGUGCGAGCGUUAAUCGGAAUUACUGGGCGUAAAGCGCGCGUAGGCGGUCUGAUAAGCCGGUUGUGAAAGCCCCGGGCUCAACCUGGGAACGGCAUCCGGAACUGUCAGGCUAGAGUGCAGGAGAGGAAGGUAGAAUUCCCGGUGUAGCGGUGAAAUGCAUAGAGAUCGGGAGGAAUACCAGUGGCGAAGGCGGCCUUCUGGACUGACACUGACGCUGAGGUGCGAAAGCGUGGGUAGCAAACAGGAUUAGAUACCCUAGUAGUC
RNAcentral lists this ribosomal RNA (465 nucleotides) under Vreelandella stevensii. Its description in RNAcentral is "partial 16S ribosomal RNA". It matches the Rfam family "Bacterial small subunit ribosomal RNA", at positions 338 to 795 of the family's 1533-position model. Lineage: Bacteria; Pseudomonadati; Pseudomonadota; Gammaproteobacteria; Oceanospirillales; Halomonadaceae. The record is from RNAcentral.